ACGGGGUGCAGCAGGCGCGAAACCUCCGCAAUGCACGCAAGUGCGACGGGGGAACCCCAAGUGCUACUCUUAACGGGGUGGCUUUUCAGAAGUGUAAAAAGCUUCUGGAAUAAGGGCUGGGCAAGACCGGUGCCAGCCGCCGCGGUAACACCGGCAGCUCAAGUGGUAGCCGCUUUUAUUGGGCCUAAAGCGUCCGUAGCCGGUCUGAUAAGUCUCUGGUGAAAUCCCACAGCUUAACUGUGGGAAUUGCUGGAGAUACUAUCAUGACUCGAGGUCGGGAGAGGCUGGAGGUACUCCCAGGGUAGGGGUGAAAUCCUAUAAUCCUGGGAGGACCACCUGUGGCGAAGGCGUCCAGCUGGAACGGACCUGACGGUGAGGGACGAAAGCCAGGGGCGCGAACCGGAUUAGAUACCCGGGUAGUCCUGGCCGUAAACGAUGCGGACUUGGUGUUGGGACGGCUUUGAGCUGUCCCAGUGCCGAAGGGAAGCUGUUAAGUCCGCCGCCUGGGAAGUACGGCCGCAAGGCUGAAACUUAAAGGAAUUGGCGGGGGAG
Molecule: ribosomal RNA, 552 nt
Filed under: uncultured archaeon
Lineage: Archaea
Description: bacterial SSU rRNA
Rfam family: Archaeal small subunit ribosomal RNA
Source: RNAcentral